UACGUAGGGGGCAAGCGUUGUUCGGAAUUACUGGGCGUAAAGGGUUUGUAGGUGGCUUGCUAAGUCAGACGUGAAAUCCCUCAGCUUAACUGAGGAACUGCGUCUGAGACUGGCAAGCUUGAGUGCAGGAGAGGAACGCGGAAUUCCAGGUGUAGCGGUGAAAUGCGUAGAUAUCUGGAGGAACACCGGUGGCGAAGGCGGCAUCCUGGACCAACACUGACGCUGAGGAGCGAAAGCCAGGGGAGCAAACGGG
Molecule: ribosomal RNA, 253 nt
Filed under: uncultured bacterium
Lineage: Bacteria
Description: partial 16S ribosomal RNA
Rfam family: Bacterial small subunit ribosomal RNA
Source: RNAcentral